RNAcentral lists this non-coding RNA (85 nucleotides) under unclassified sequences. The record is from RNAcentral.
AGCCAACUUCCGCCGGGAAGUAUUAUUAGGAAAGCCACCCGUUUCGUUAGGCCUUUGCAGAAACGGGGGACUUUCCCUUUUUGUU